Molecule: long non-coding RNA, 204 nt
Filed under: Vitis vinifera (wine grape)
Lineage: Eukaryota; Viridiplantae; Streptophyta; Magnoliopsida; Vitales; Vitaceae
Description: long non-coding RNA (VVIN_LNC006950)
Source: RNAcentral
AUAAGUCGUCCAUCGUUGUAGGAGGCUUUUUAGCCAGUGAUUCGAAAAAUGGAGUGCCUGGACAGAUGCUUCGUUUGAAGAUCUGUAGGACAGCAUCCAUACUGCAAGCCUCUACUUGAAGUACGGCUUGGCCAAACCGCUUCACAAAUUCCCUCAAGGAUUCGUUAUCUUGCAUUUUUAUGUUCUACAAGGUGCUGAUAUUUU